GACGAACGCUGGCGGCGUGCUUAACACAUGCAAGUCGAACGGAAAGGCCCUGCUUUUGUGGGGUGCUCGAGUGGCGAACGGGUGAGUAACACGUGAGUAACCUGCCCUUGACUUUGGGAUAACUUCAGGAAACUGGGGCUAAUACCGGAUAGGAGCUCCUGCUGCAUGGUGGGGGUUGGAAAGUUUCGGCGGUUGGGGAUGGACUCGCGGCUUAUCAGCUUGUUGGUGGGGUAGUUGCUUACCAAGGCUUUGACGGGUAGCCGGCCUGAGAGGGUGACCGGCCACAUUGGGACUGAGAUACGGCCCAGACUCCUACGGGAGGCAGCAGUGGGGAAUAUUGCACAAUGGGCGGAAGCCUGAUGCAGCAACGCCGCGUGCGGGAUGACGGCCUUCGGGUUGUAAACCGCUUUCGCCUGUGACGAAGCGUGAGUGACGGUAAUGGGUAAAGAAGCACCGGCUAACUACGUG
RNAcentral lists this ribosomal RNA (468 nucleotides) under uncultured bacterium. RNAcentral describes it as "partial 16S ribosomal RNA". It matches the Rfam family "Bacterial small subunit ribosomal RNA", at positions 28 to 507 of the family's 1533-position model. The record is from RNAcentral.